ACAUCGGUUUAGCUCAAUGGUUUUUCCUAUCGGGGAUGUGUCAUAUCUGACGGUCAGCGGUUUGAAACACUUUGACUACAGGGACUGUCCGAUGUUUUU
RNAcentral lists this small RNA (99 nucleotides) under Oryzias latipes (Japanese medaka). Its description in RNAcentral is "Vault RNA (ENSORLG00020011011.1)". The record is from RNAcentral. Lineage: Eukaryota; Metazoa; Chordata; Actinopteri; Beloniformes; Adrianichthyidae.